GCGUCCAAAAAUCAUUAUAAACCAGUACCGGGAUCGUGGCUGAGCUGUUGAGCUGCAGUGUUCAGGAUAAAGGAGAAGGUUCGGGUUCAGAGAGUAAAUCCAAAUAGAGACCAACAUGAAGGCCGUGACAGUACUUUUGCUCUUGACAACUGUUAUUGCCGUGCAUGUGGGCAGUGCUGACGCUGGGGCAUGCAAUAGCUGCUCAUGCCUGAACGUUUCCCGCACUGAGCACUGCGUCCAUGGCUACUGCCGCAUGAGCAGAGGUACUGCCAUCUGCAUCUGCGACAUCGGGUACCAGGGAAAUCGAUGCCAAGACCCAGUCUUCCGCGGGUAAACAACAUGCAUAAUUAUAUCGACAGCGCGGGGGAGAACAAAUAAAUAAAAGAUCGACCCUAUAGUGAUCCAUGCAACAACAGUACUCCACCGCCAACGAGCAUCGUGUGCCGAAGAACCCUAGAAGAACAACUAUCGGUGUCGUCUACUUAAAUAAACUAUUUUGGAAGCUAUAUUCUGUACACUGGGGCACAAGUUAACAAUCACUUAAAAUUUAAUUGACCAUAAUUAUUUCCCUCAAAAUGAACGUGUUUGCAAACAUCACGCACGAAUAAAUGCGUCGUGAUUUUAAAGUUUAGCCAUAGUUGACGGCAUCAUUUCUCAGUAAACGAAAAGUAUAACCAUUGAAUUUGAUUGAAAUAGAAAUGAAGUAAAAUUAAAACUUACUUGUAAACAAAAAAAAAUCAGCUUAUAAGAAGUUGAGUGUUUUUUACGCCAAGCGCGCCUGAAUCGUACACUGAAGGUUUAUUGAAAUUUAGAGACAGGAUUAAUUUAUCAACAUACGGAUAUUUAAAAAGUUGGAAUACAUCAGGUGAUUCGAUUACAAAUCCUGCGUUUGCUUUUCAGCUCUCUAUAAGUGUGUUGUAUGAUAGUAUACAUUACAGGCGUUUGUGUAAAGAAUGAAAGAAUUAUGCGAUUAAUUGCUUAUCACAUGUGUUUUUAAAAGUACUAUAAUGUUUCCUUGAUUUAACUUCAACCUGAUUAAAAGCUUAGCAGCUGAUAUCGUGUGUAGA
Molecule: long non-coding RNA, 1067 nt
Organism: Patiria miniata (bat star)
Lineage: Eukaryota; Metazoa; Echinodermata; Asteroidea; Valvatida; Asterinidae
Exons: 4
Source: RefSeq, a predicted model, not a curated record